GUCGUCCGCUGUCGAUCGGUAGUAGUCGAAUCAUUAGUCGUCAGCCGGCAAUAGGUCGGUGCGGUUCGUUCAGUUGGUCGAUGAAGAGUUGAAAUCUCAUAAUCAGCCGAUGUAGAGUCGGUCGGGGUUGUCUGCUUGGUUGGUCGGCUAUUGUUGAGUCAAAGUCGGUAGUCGCUUUCAGGGUCAUGUCUGUUUAUGGGGCCAGAGUCGGGUGUCGGUCGGUCUGCGUUAGAGAUCAG
This 239-nucleotide long non-coding RNA is filed under the name Elaeis guineensis (African oil palm). RNAcentral's name for it is "long non-coding RNA (EGUI_LNC077475)". The record is from RNAcentral. Lineage: Eukaryota; Viridiplantae; Streptophyta; Magnoliopsida; Arecales; Arecaceae.